UAAGGUGAUUAAGCAAUCGCAUGUUUUACAUGAGGAAAGUCCGAGCACCAAAGGACACGGUGCCAGUUAACGGCUGGUGAAGGCGACUUUAAGGAAAGUGCAACAGAAAUAUACCGCCAUUUUUGUGGUAAGGAUGGAAAGGUGAGGUAAGAGCUCACCCGUAGUAUGGCAACUUACUAGCGAUGUAAACCCCACCGGGUGCAAGAUCCGAAUUGAGCUAUAUGGCUGUCCGCUAUGCUCUAAGGAGAUCGCUAAAGCCAUUUGGUAACAUUUGGUUUAGAUAGAUGAUUGCUCACGACAGAACUCGGCUUAUAGAUCACACUUUUGUA
RNAcentral lists this RNase P RNA (329 nucleotides) under Christensenellaceae bacterium. Its description in RNAcentral is "RNase P RNA component class A". It matches the Rfam family "Bacterial RNase P class A". Rfam says of the family: Ribonuclease P (RNase P) is a ubiquitous endoribonuclease, found in archaea, bacteria and eukarya as well as chloroplasts and mitochondria. Its best characterised activity is the generation of mature 5'-ends of tRNAs by cleaving the 5'-leader elements of precursor-tRNAs. Cellular RNase Ps are ribonucleoproteins. The record is from RNAcentral. Lineage: Bacteria; Bacillati; Bacillota; Clostridia; Christensenellales; Christensenellaceae.